This 309-nucleotide long non-coding RNA is filed under the name Pogona vitticeps (central bearded dragon). Its description in RNAcentral is "lncRNA (ENSPVIG00000015982.1)". Lineage: Eukaryota; Metazoa; Chordata; Lepidosauria; Squamata; Agamidae. The record is from RNAcentral.
UUUUUGAAAGGAUGUUUCCAUCUGCUAAAUUUAAGUUUGUAUGCAUUACAGACACUGACCCACACAGAGGGGAAAGUUUAAAAUGACCUCUAGCUGCCUUCCCAAAGGAUGAAAAUGAGAUCUAUACAUCUCGAUCAGAGACUUCAGCAUUUUCUGCAUCACAAAUUAUGAAUGAACUUCGGUUGAAAGCAUGAUUAUCCCAGCCUGGAAUCCUCCAACUAACUAGCCUUGAACUAUUCUGAUCUUUCUGGCCGUAUAAUUCCCGUAUUUUCUCCUAGUAAUAAAUGUGUGAUUGGUGAGGCUGAGCCA